Long non-coding RNA from Capsicum annuum, 1628 nucleotides. RefSeq lists it as uncharacterized. NCBI's taxonomy places the organism in Eukaryota, Viridiplantae, Streptophyta, Magnoliopsida, Solanales, Solanaceae. The transcript has 3 exons. The record is from RefSeq and is a predicted model, not a curated record.
UAAUUAAAUCCUUCCUAUAGUUCCAAAAUGGUACUUGUGCCUUUAGGUUUAAUUGGGUUUGAACCGUGAACCAGUAGGGUUGGACCAACUUCAGUAGGGACUAACGGCAGUUAGUUCAUUAAGGGAAUAAAGUUACGGCGAUGGCUUAAAACUCGUACGUUUCUUGUAGAGGGAAAAAGUGCUCGUCAAAUAGUAGAGUGGCGAUUUUGGCCCUUUCCCUUUGAAGUAAUAAGAAGGAAAUUGAGGUAGAGUAGUCCAAAAGUUCAGUAUGAUUACCUGAUGUGCUCAAGAAACAAGAGCAAAGGAUGAUAGUGUGCUUAAUCAGGCAUAUAUUUUUUUUAAAAAAGAGAGGUGUUUAUAGAAGGCAAUCACAGGCACUUUAUGGUAGUAUAUGAGGCAAUAUAGGUGAAGUGUGUGAUCGUCCAUCUCUUCUAACGGGCAAAGUUAUCCAAUACCUAUACCAGUGAGAGGAGGCAAGCAUCCAGAGGAACAUUUGACACGCUGCCAAGUUGUACUGCCGUUAUUCCCAAAAUAAAAAGCGUUCCUUCUUUUGAUGUUGUAUAAUGUCACUUGCCAUCUGGGAAAUAAUUGUUUGUACCUAUAGCUUCUCAGGUAGAUUGUGGUGGACAGAAACUCUUUCUGCUCUCUCACUUCCACUUUUUUCCUGUGUUCUCCUGUGAUUUGCCCCUGCCUGUUUUGUUGAUAUACUUUCUUUUAUGUGGGGGAUUGUUGUAUUUUCUUUUUCUCCCUUCCAGUUGCAGGUGGUUGAGCAUUAUUGAGUUGGUUUAGUUGAAAUUAUUACUAUGUCAUGCUCGUUCGAUUUGCAUCCGUAUCGUUUAAUUGAAGUCGUCGAUAUAUAAACCGAGUUGUUUAUCAUUAGGCGUUUCAUCUAGUUUUUUGUGUCCUUGAUUCUGCAGUACUAUUAUGAACCGGUCUCUGGGAAAAAAUUCUGGUCAAUGCCUGAGGUGCUUCGUUUCCUGAAAACGAGUAGCAUGCGCAAGAAGAGCACUGGCGGUGAUGCUACACCAUCUGAGACCCCAAUAGCAAGAAACAGAAGAAAAGUUGCUCGAAGAAAGAAAAAAAUAAAACUACUUCAUUUUACUCUGAUUCUUUGAAUACGCCACAGAGCGUUUGCUGGGUUCUGACGGAUAGUUCUGCAGAUACUUGGGCACCUUUUGUUCAUGGAAACAUGGUUCCUGAAGGCCAAAGAUAAGAAUGGGAUGCUGUCUUCUCGACUGUGUCCCAAAGGAAUGCAAAUAGGAAUGCAGGUGUCUCUAAUGUGCUAUAACCAGUUAAAGAACGUGUCUCGGUAUCUAGCUAGACUAGAUAGUGUGUCAAAUCUCAUCUGAAUUGGGCUCACUUUAUUUUGGUCUUAACAUAGGGACCUCAUAGUUGUUGAUGGCUUCUUGCUUUGGCGUAGGAAUAGGCAAAAGGUGCUCCACCUGAACUCUGUUCAUGAUGUUCAAGUAUGGUCUGUUAUUGGUGUUGUUGAACCAGUGAAUUUGAAGCAUUUUACUAAGAUGGACAUUAGUGAAAAAUUGUCUCAAGUCCGAGCUAUGGAAGCAGUUACUAAUGCUUGCAUAGGGGUAGGCUGUUUAUAUUACACCAUUUCAGGUGUAGCUCAUGAA